AUUGAACGCUGGCGGCAGGCCUAACACAUGCAAGUCGAACGAGUGGCGGACGGGUGAGUAAUGUCUGGGAAACUGCCUGAUGGGGGGGGAUAACUACUGGAAACGGUAGCUAAUACCGCAUACCCUCGGAUGUGCCCAGAUGGGAUUAGCUAGUUGGUGGUGUAAAGGCUCACCUAGGCGACGAUCCCUAUCUGGUCUGAGAGGAUGACCAGCCACAACGGAACGUAGACACGGUCCAGCCUCCUCCGGGAGGCAGCAGUGGGGAAUAUUGCACAAUGGGCGCAAGCCUGAUGCAGACAUGCCGCGUGUAUGAAGAAGGCCUUCGGGUUGUAAAGUACUUUCAUCGGGGAGGCGUUACCCGCAGAAGAAGCACCGGCUAACUCCGUGCCAGCAGCCGCGGUAAUAC
RNAcentral lists this ribosomal RNA (406 nucleotides) under uncultured bacterium. Its description in RNAcentral is "partial 16S ribosomal RNA". It matches the Rfam family "Bacterial small subunit ribosomal RNA", at positions 30 to 526 of the family's 1533-position model. The record is from RNAcentral.